This 9715-nucleotide long non-coding RNA is filed under the name Homo sapiens (human). RNAcentral's name for it is "non-protein coding lnc-PSMB9-6:14". The record is from RNAcentral. Lineage: Eukaryota; Metazoa; Chordata; Mammalia; Primates; Hominidae.
AGGGCAUGUCCGCCGAUCCCAAGGAGGCAAUCUGUCAGGCGCCGCCCGGGCGGCAGUAUGCCUGAGGGGGUCCUCCGUGUUCGCGCCUCCCGCCGCCUGCACUGAAAGAAUAUCCUAGCUCUGAGACAAAAAUUGGGAACCUCAGCAUGAGUUUGUCACCUGAAUGAAAUAAAAAAAAUCACGUUGAAGGCUGGUGCAGUAACAUGUGCCUGUAGUCCCAGCUACUCUGGAGGCUGAGUCAGGAGGAUCACUUGAGACCAGAAGUUCAGGAAUUCAAGACUGGCUUGAGCAACAUAGCAAGACUUCAUUUCAAAACAAACAGAAAAAAGCCACCACCUUCAGUAUUUCUUGCCAAAGCAAAGGAGCCAUUUGUUCUUUACGAUGGUCAGGAAAGGAAGCAUCAAGGUCAUCAAAUGAAAAAUUUUCAGCAUUUCAGCCUCUCUGCUCAGGGAAAUAUCUGAAUCUAGAAUAUCACAACAUGAGCCAAAACCGCCCCAUUUCUCAUGCCACAUGUCACUCUUAACACAAGGUUACUCAACCUCGAGCAUGGUUGGCAUUUGGGGCUGAAUAAUUCUUUUUUGUAGGGGGCUGUCCUGGGCAUUGUAGGAUGCUCAUGAGCUACCUCAGUCUCUACCACCCACUAGAUGCCAGUAGCAUUGACCCCUGAUCUCUCUACCCAAGUUGUGACAACUAAAACCAUCUCUGGAUAAUGGAGGAACCUUAAAUGCAUAUUGCUAAGGAAAAGCCAAUCUGAAAGGAUUACAUAUUGUAUGAGUCCAACUAUAUGGUAAUCUGGAAAAGGCAAAACCAUGGAGACAGUGAAAAGGUAGUGGUUACCAGUGGUCCAUGGGAAGGGUUGGAUGAAUAGGUGGAGCACAGAGGAUUUUUAAGGCAGUGAAACUAUUCUGAAUGAUACUGUAAUGGUGGAUACAUGUCAUACCUUUGUCAAAACCAAUAAAAUAUAACAACCAAUAAAACUGCACAAAGAGUGAACCCUAAUGUAAACUAUGGACUUAAUAAUGUAUCAAUAUUGGCUCACCAAUUUUAACAAAUGUACCACACUAAUGCAAGAUGUUACUAAUAGUGGAAACUGGAGGGAAGAGGGCUUGAGGGGACAUACGGGAACUCUCUGUAAUUCCUGUUCAGUUUUUCUGUAACUGUUAAACUGUCCAAAAAAAGUCUGUUUUUAUAAAUGGAGGCAUGGUUUUAUAUGGACUAAAAUACUAUGAUUGCCUUUUUAUUUUACACAUGGUGAAAUUAGAGCAGGACAUAUUUUAAACUCAAAAUUCACAAAAUUAAUUUAUGAAAAUGUUUACCCAGAUCAAGAAUAUUAAAGAAACUUAGAUUAAUAUUGUUACCUUGAAUUUAUUUUACUGAGUAAUCCUCUAAGACUCCUCUACACAUUAUUAAUCUAGAAGGAUUUUUAAAGUCUUUAUGACAAUUAAUUAUUGGUCUACAGUCAAAUUGCGUAUCCCCAUUAACUAGAGUUAUAUUUUUCCAUUUUCUGAUCCAAAAACUUUAGGAACAGGAAAUGUUUAUUUUAGAAAACAAGAACACUUCUUAAGCAUUUGCUGUUAACAGUUAUUUUCACAUGUGCUUGUACUUAUUUUACACUUGUCAGAACAUAGUAUUUACCUUUGAACCAAGGUUUUAUAAUAAGCAAGCACUUUUUUUAUUUAGAAGUCACAUUUUCCAAGUAGAAAAAUCAUUAAAAAUUCAGUCCUCUGAAGGCUAAUUUCUUUAAAUCAUUUAACCUAAUUGUUUAAGGUAUAGAUUGGAAUUUUUCUCAGCACUCUCUUGAAAACAGGUGACAGUGGAACCCUGUUAGGUUCACAAAUCCUAGACUUUGAUUAUAUAGCCCAGGCUCAAAUUUUUCUCGAAUGUUACGAACAUUCAAAGCAUUAGGAGUCUUGGUUUCAUUUCUUAAUUUUUUUUCUUCUGGGUAUAUUUGAGACUCAUCUUGGAUUCAAAUAAAUUAAUAAUAGUCUCAUGAAACCGAUAAAAAUGGGAGCUCCAUUGAACAUGAGAGACAUUGAUUCGUAGUUUCUAACAUCCUCCAAAUGAGGAGCCCAUCCCUAAUUUAGAUGCUUCUUUCAAAGGAGGCUCCUUUCCUUCGUUAUCCAUAAUAUAGUCACACCAGUCCUGAAAAAACAUGGAACAGACUCCAGAUCUUUAUAUUUCAUACUCUAAAGUCGUACAAGCCAAUCUGCAUUUCCUCUAGUGGAAACUGUAUAGCUGGUCAUCUUUCCAGGACCCUUUUAUCAAGAAACAAUGCAGCUUCUACAUUUGUGCUGCUUCUACACCAAAACAGCUGGAAUGUAUAUAGUAUGGUUCUGGAUGCUCUUGUAUACCUCACUCUUCAUUUCUCACCUAACCCAUGUGCUAUGAUUUGAAUGUUUCUCCCCUGCAAAACUCAUGUUGAAAUGUAAUUGCCAUGAUAACAGUAUUAAUAGGUGGAAUAUUUAAGAGGUGAUUAGGGUGGGAUUGGUGAUGUUAUAAAAGGGUAAGUUCAGCCCCUUCUUGCUCUCUCUGUCACCCUUCCACCUUCCUCUGUGUGAUGAUGCAACAAAAAAGCCCUUCCCAGAUGCCAGCAUCUUGAUUUUGGACUUCUCAGCCUACAGAACUAUAAGCCAAUAAAUUUCUGUUAUUUGUUAUUAGUCUGUGAUAUUCUGUUACAGUAGCACAAAAUGGACUAUGACACCAUGUGUUUACACAGAAAGAAAAAAAUAUCAUACGGUAAUUGCUCCUAAAUAUGCAGAGAAUAUGUUCUGAUAUCCUUAGUGGAUGCCUGAAACUGCAGAUAGUACCAAACCUUAUAUAUACUAUGUUUUUUUUCCCAUACAUAUGCAUGUUAAAGUUUAUAAGUUAGGCAGAGUAAGAUAUGAACAAUAACUAAUAAUGAAAUAGAAACGUAACGAUGUGCUGUAAUAAAAGUUAUGUGACUGACGCCUCUUUUUCUUCCUCUUUCUUUCAAAAUAUCUUAAUAUUUUCAAGCCAUGGAUAACUGAAACUGCAGAAAGUGAAACUGUAGAUAAACUAUUAACUCUAUUUAAACAAUAAAAGAAUUAUAAUUAUAUUCUUGGGAAAAUUAACAAUUAUCCAAAGUCCCUUUGCAAAGGGAAAAAAAAUGCAUGUAUUGGAAAAAAUCUCAACCACAGGGUUCCCUAAGCUUUGCAAACAACAAAUAGCAUCCACCUAUCCAUCCUCAGAGAGCAACAGUUUUACUGUUAUUUAGAAAAAGCAACUAUUUCAGGCUGCAGGUUGUGCACAUCAGCACUUCCCAGCUCUCUACUAAUAUGGGAAAACUGACUAUCCCUGACUUCAGUUUUUGUGAAGCUAAAUGCCUGACUAGAGUUUAAACUGAGGCUAAUUGGAGAUCAUAAAAUUUUACAGCUUGCUAGAGGUGGACCACAAUUUUGAUUGGAAACUUUCCACCAACCAAUUCUAAAAGGUGUUAAUGGUGACUAUUUUCUAAAACAAAUCUGAAGAGUAACUAAUAUGAUAAGACCAGAAAUAUAUUUCUCUGGCAAGUCCCUAUAAAAAGAAAGCUAGGUAAUUAAAUAAUCUCUCAACAAUAUUGUUUUAGGAAACCCAAUAGAGAGUUUCACAGGCCUGUUUCUUAUGGGAUUGCUCAAUGUAGGUAAAUAUUAUCAAACCAAAAAGUAAUUUUGUAACAGAAAUUCUACAGAGCCCCAAUACCUUACAGAAUGAUGAGUACAACAGUAGAAACAAAUAGAAGAUAACCUAGAAAAAUAAAGCGAAUAACUUAAUGGCGUGAGUUAGGUUAAGAAAAGCUUCCUGGAAAAAGACAUCUGAAUAGAAUUUUAGUAGAUAUAGCUAGGAAUUCCCAAGCAGGUAGAAGAAGGGGGACAUUCCAGGCAAAGGAAUCAUGUGAAUGCAAAGGUAGGGAGUCAUGAAUCAAUAUGUUCGGUUUUUUUGUUGUUUUUGUUUUAUAAAGAGCUAUAAUAGGCUGGGCACAGUGGCUGUAAUCCCAGCACUUUGGGAGGCUGAAGCAGGUGGAUCACUUGAGCCCAGGAGUUCGAGACCAGCCUGGGCAACAUGGCAAAACACUGUCUCUACAAAAACAAAAAAAAUUAUCCCUGUUCAGUGGUGUGCGCCUGUGGUCCCGGCUACCUGGGAGGCUGAGGCGAGAGGAGUGCUCAAGGUGGGAGGUGGAGAUUACAGUGAGCAGAGAUCACACCACUGCACUCCAGCCUGAGCGACAGAGAGACUCUGUCUAAAAAAAAAAAAAAAAAGCUAUAAUAAGAUCAGCUUACUAGACAAUACAGUGAAAUGGGGGAAGCUAGAGAAGAGAGGUGGGCAGUGGCCUCUUAUGCUACGUAAGAGAUUUGACAUCAUAAAGUAAGUUGCCAGAGUUCUGAAUGAGGGCAUUAGAAAUAGUAAUGAACAGGAAAGCAUACACUUAAGAGCUGUCUGCUGUCUGGGAGGUGGAAUUUACACUGAGUACUGAGUAAUAGAAUGAAGGGGUUGAGGGAAAGGUAAGAAUCUAGGGUGAGUGUAAAUCUUCUGGUUCAGGGGAUAAACAACAGGAAGUCAUUGAAAUCUAUUGGCCUAUCCGCAUUUUGAAAUUAUUUUUACUCAUGUAAGAUUCUGUAACAUUAUAUGGUCAUUAGGAAAUAUCUGUUUACUGAAUUAUGGAGGUAUUCGAAAUGUUCAAACAUUUCAUGCAAUAUCAAAAACUCAAACUGGCUGCAGUGGCUUAUGCCUGUAAUCCCAGCACAUUGGGAGACCAAGGCAGGAGUACUGUCUGAGCCCAGGAGUUCAAGACCAGCCUGGGCAACAUGGCAAGACCCCAUCUCUACAAAAUUUUUUUAAAUUUGCCAAGAGUGGAGUGCACAUCUGUGGUCUCAGCUACUUGGAAAGCUGAGGCAGGAGGAUCACUUGAGCCCAUAAGGUUGAGAGCUGCAUUCAGUGAGCCCUGUUCAUGCCACUGCAAUCCAGCCUUAACAACAGAGCAAGACCCUGUCUCAAAAAAAUAUUAUAUUCAUUAAUGUUGCUGCUGAUAUCAGAAAAAAUUCUAAGUAUCCCACAGUAGCAGAUACAAGCUUUUCAAAAUUCCAACUUCUACUUUUAAAAGCUUAAAUUUUAGCACUGGCAACAAAUACAACUAGUUGUUUUCCCUAAAGUGAUAGUAUCACUGUUUAUUUUCAAGAAAAUGUCUGCCAAAUUCCCAAGUCUGAAUAAUCAAUUUUCUGUCACUUUUUUUUUCCAAGUGAAAAGAUGGUGUUUCCAUGAAAGAAAAGAAAAAGUGGCUAAUUCAGCUUGCAACUCAAACAAGUGUUUUUCCAAAAGACAACUAUAUUUCAGCAUGCAGUAGAAGUGUUUUAUGGGUACAUCACAUUGUGUCACAAAGAAUUUUUUUAAAUGUGCUUAAGGGUUGAGAUUUAGUAGAAAAUAAUUUUUACAACUUCAUCAAGGACAUUAUUUUAGUAAAACUGUUUUUUUUUUACUACGAAUGUGUGGUGGUGAAGAAUACAAUGACUACUAAUAAAAUUUGGUGCCAUUGCCUUAAUUCGUGCUAAGACACCAGUCAUUUUACCCACCAUUGGAUAAAAUCCACCAUUUUUGCACCAUCAGUGCAAAUGUUAACACAGUUAACACAGUUGUUGAGGAUAAACCACCAGAUUCAAAAAAGUCAUAUAACACUUUUAAUGUUUCAGAACCCCUGUUGCCCAGAAUUCACAUAAAAGAAGAUCAUCAAUGGUCAAUUGAUGCUGAUACCUGAUGAAUGAAAGCAAAACAGGAUGUAUAGCCAUCUGUAGAUCAGUCCCUUUGUAAGGCUAAGGUACAAUUCUUUAGAUGAUAUAUUAACUCAGUCUUUAUGUUUGCAGUUAAAUCUUUAAUUUGACAAGUUAUUGCAUCAUUGGAAAAUGCCAGCACUAUGCAUUCUUGUGGUGAUUUUUCAUCCAGCAGGUAUUCAGCAAUGUCAACUGUUCAAGCCUUUAUUAGUCUCUCUGUGAUUGUGUGUGCUCCUCUAGCCAAUACAAUAUGAUGGCUUAUCCUGUAAGAAGCUUUUAAAGAGUGUAUUACAUCUACAUUUCGGUUAUUUAAUUCCUUUUUUUAAUAAAUUCUGAAUGAUUGGUCCCAAAAUGAUACUGCAACUUUGUUGGAACCAUAUAAGUGUUUGAAAAUGUUUUACUGCACAAGACACAAUAUGAUAAAUUAUUAACAUCUAUAAAGCUGAACAAAAGAUCACUUUCAACAUAUUUUUGUUGUGUAUAGUUGUGCUCAGUUUCUUUGGAAUAGAUUUCUCCUUUUUAUGAGGAAUCAGAUAACUUGCUGAUAUGUCAAUGUCAUCCUUUUCAGCAUCUCUAGACAUAGGCAAUCUAGACACCAGAAAAUGUGUUUUCUCUUCUCCCUUUUUAAAGCCAACCAUCCACCCUAUUCAGAUAAAAUUUUUUAAUUAAAAACAUUUUUGAAAAAUAUAUUAUUGCAAAACAACAAAGUAAACAUAAUUUUUGUUAUGUUUCUGUGUAAAAGGAAAAACUUUAGGAUUUAAAAAUGAUUUCUUGGAAGAUAAUGAGAUUACAGAGAUUAUAACAGGUAUAACUGAAGAUAGCUGGUAAGAGCAUGGUAGAAAAGAAAUAAUUUCUGAAAACUACAUACUUAUACCGUAAACUCACUACCUUUGAAAACUCUAGAAAAUACAAUACACAGGCACACAAUCUGUUAGGUAUCAGAGAAAUAGUCAUCACUAUUCAUCACAUGCCAUUGUUGUCUUUGGCGAACCCUUCUGUACACUUAUGAGAGUGAGAGUAAAAAAAAGGCAAAUAACAUCUUAAUUUUAUGAAUAUUUUUGACCUUGUUGACCCUCUAAAAGGAUCCAAGGGAUCUCUCCCUCCCAACAUCCCCAGGAAUCCUCUGAUCACAUUUUGAGAACUGUUGGAUAAGUCAGUUAAUAUUGCAGGAACAUAGGCUAUCACCAUGGGGAAUAAAUGAAACCAGAUCUCUACCUCACACCAUUACAAAAAUAAAUUUUAAAUGAAAUAAAAGGCUAAAUGUGAAAAGGUAAAGGUUUAAAGCUUUGGGGGGGAAAUGUAGAAUAACUUUAUUAUCUCAAGGUAGAUAGCCUAACAAUACCACGUGCUGAAGCAGAAAUGUGAAGAAAUGGGAAUUUGCAUAGAAUCUUGGUGGAAGGGUUAGUUUUCCCACUUAUUUCAACUACUUAUUUCACAUAUGCAGUGUUGUACAAAUUUAAAGAGACAAGAAUCCUACAGACAAGCAAUUCUAUGUUUAUAUGCCCUAGAGACCUGAAGACAUUCUCAAAUACAAAAACAAAGAAGUAUGCAUAAGGAUGUUCAUUGCAGGUUUGCUUAUAAUUGGUGGAAAGUCAGGGGAUGCCCAUCAGUGCAUAAAAAAGUAAAUAAAAUUGUGUUGCCUUUCUACAAUAAAUUGUGCAACCAUUAAAAUAAACUAAAUGUCCAUAUUUCACAAGGACAAUUCUCACAACAUAAUAACAAAUGAUAUGCACUAACUUUAAACUAGUAAUUGCAUCUGGUGAGGGAAAAGAAAGGUGGACCUGAAGUCAGGUGCAAACAGCACAACUGUAUUUGAGUAGUGGUUGCAUGACUGUUGUUCCAUGUAUUUUCUGUAUGUUACAAAUAUUUACUAUUAAUUAUAACAACAUAAGAUGUACUCUAACUCCUUCAUGCUGCUAAUUAUAGAAUAUCUACUUUGUUGACUAAACCCUUUAGCAUAUAUAUAUAUAUAUAUAUAUAUAUAGCCUAUUUCUGUUAAUGGUUCUUUGGAUAAAUAACAGUUGACUUUGUUCCUCUGCUUGGUAUUUUAAAAAACCUAUUAGUUUACAAAUCUCUUACUAAUUUUAGUUUUAAUAUUUGUAUUGUUAAGUAUUUUAAACACACAGAAAGGCAAAUAAACCCCCAUUACCCAAACACCCAGCUUUAUUAAAUCUUAGUAUUUUGUCCUAUUUGUUUCAAUGGUUUUUUUAAUAAAUCAGUGACUACAAUAAAAUUGAUACCUCUGAAUCCUUCCAUUUUCUUUUCACUGCCCCCAGAUAUAACCACCAAUGUGAAGUCAGUUUUAUCAUUGCUAUGCAUGUUUUUAAUAUUUUUACUAAAUGUUUAUGAAUUCUUAAACAUUAUGAAGCAUUAUGUUAUAGAGUUUUUAAGUUUUAUAAAAUAUUAUCUAAUACUGUUACUUUAAGAAAACCUGCAGUAACCCCUUCUGAAAAAGAUUAAUCACACGUAAUUUGUUACAUAUUAAAAUAACUGCUCCUAAAUAGUGAUGUGGCCUUGGGCAAGCUCUUUCAAGUUUCUGUGAGCUCCAGCUUUUCCUUAUCUGUGUGGUAAAAGAAUAUGAGACUAUGUCUGCGCUCUCUUUCAGAUUAUAAGUCUCUAUAAAUUAUUCAACUCAAAUGUCCCCAUGGGUUUACUUAAAGGAUAGUUUUGUCCACUUAUGAACAACUGUGUUUCAUCAAAAUCAGAAUUUACUGAAUGUUCAUUCAUUUUAACUUUUUUAAGUGGUUUGUCACAGAAUUCCUUUCAAUGCUGAGAUUUUCAAAUAUAUUGCAACCAUCGAGAGGACAUUCUUGAAUAUUCACUAUAAGCCUGAUGCUAUGCGAGGUGCCAGAGAUACAAGAGGGAACUUGACAGGUACAGUCUGUCUCCCACAAAGCUUAUGGCUGAGUUUUUAAAAUGUAAUUCAAGCUUUUCAGGAAUACAGUCAAUCCAUAAAGCAAUAGGGAGAAACAUUUCCAAUAUCAAGAGGCACUGAUGAAUGAAUGUGUGAAUAACUAAAUUUUGUAACUUUUUUUGUAGACAUAAAAAUAAGCAUUCACUGUGUCAUCCUUAAAUAAAAUCAUUGGCAGAGUGUAGCCUAUAAAUGUCUGGAAAUACCUCACCAAAGGCUAGAAGACAUUUUGCCAGAAGGAAGUAAUGUUUACAUUUCUAUAUUUUGUUUCUUUUUCCUCUACAUAUGCAUUUUGUCCUAUGUCUAUGUCUCCUUCUUAAUAGGCUUUGACAUGAACCCAAAGCAAAUGUUUCCUAUUAUUUUAUCUAUUUAUUGAAUAUACAUUGUUUUCUGAAUGCUAUUCCUUUCAUUUACCAGUUCUAGUAGUCUGGGUUUGCUCUUAUUUCUCUUUACUCUAAAAUGGUUUUUUUAAUCUGUAACACAGAACUUAGUGCUUGGUUAUAUAUAGGUAGGCAUUGUUUUCUAAAAACACUGGUUUACAAAAUGGAAUGUGCACACUACAGGGAAUGUGCAAAUGAUCCUUGAGGAUACAGGAAGGAAGUGUUAAAGUUUCUAUUUAUUUUGGUAACUUAUAAACUUUCUAUUUGUUACAGUGUGAGUUCUGGUGUAUAUAGUCAAGCCAUAUGCUAGUACAUGGGAUAAUGUAUAAAUAAACAUGUAAGUGUCGAUAAGUACUCAACUCUUUUUUACUGAGAGGGCUUUAGGCUUUUUUUUUUUUUAAGUUUCAAUACCACAGUUCAAAUGUGUGUGUUGGUCUUAUCUAUGUAAUUGUUUUGUGUGCUCUUUCAGGGAGUGGUGGUGUCUUGUGUCUCUUACUCUGUCCAAAGGACCUUGUAUGUAUAAAUGCGAAUAAAUAUUUAUUGAACUCCACUAAUAAAUGAUUCCAUUCUUCAGACCAUCAAACUAAGGACUACGCUUUGAACAUGCUUUGGAAACAUUUUCAUUAAAGCCAAAAUGUCUCAGAAAUGUUUAAUUAAAAAAUAAA